CCUACGGGAGGCAGCAGUGGGGAAUAUUGGACAAUGGGGGGAACCCUGAUCCAGCCAUGCCGCGUGUGUGAAGAAGGCCCUCGGGUUGUAAAGCACUUUCAGUGAGGAAGAACGCCUGGUGGUUAAUACCCAUCAGGAAAGACAUCACUCACAGAAGAAGCACCGGCUAACUCCGUGCCAGCAGCCGCGGUAAUACGGAGGGUGCGAGCGUUAAUCGGAAUUACUGUGCGUAAAGCGCGCGUAGGUGGCUUGAUAAGCCGGUUGUGAAAGCCCCGGGCUCAACCUGGGAACGGCAUCCGGAACUGUCAAGCUAGAGUGCAGGAGAGGAAGGUAGAAUUCCCGGUGUAGCGGUGAAAUGCGUAGAGAUCGGGAGGAAUACCAGUGGCGAAGGCGGCCUUCUGGACUGACACUGACACUGAGGUGCGAAAGCGUGGGUAGCAAACAGGAUUAGAUACCCGUGUAGUC
This 465-nucleotide ribosomal RNA is filed under the name Vreelandella stevensii. RNAcentral's name for it is "partial 16S ribosomal RNA". It matches the Rfam family "Bacterial small subunit ribosomal RNA", at positions 338 to 795 of the family's 1533-position model. The record is from RNAcentral. Lineage: Bacteria; Pseudomonadati; Pseudomonadota; Gammaproteobacteria; Oceanospirillales; Halomonadaceae.